Long non-coding RNA from Capsella rubella, 289 nucleotides. RefSeq lists it as uncharacterized. Lineage: Eukaryota; Viridiplantae; Streptophyta; Magnoliopsida; Brassicales; Brassicaceae. The transcript is spliced from 2 exons. The record is from RefSeq and is a predicted model, not a curated record.
UGAUCUUGUCAAUAUCUUCUGCUUUGGGAAACUUGUAAUCAGGAUGCAUCCAAAGCAAAAUGUGAGCAUGUGGUCGUGAAUAGUAAAUAAACUAUUGAAGAUUCUAUGAAGAAGAUCUUAACAGGCCUAGAGGUUUAUGAUUCGGCCCAACAGAAGAAUCAAAAAAUCGGACCUUAAUAAACGGUUGUGUUUUUGUAUUUAAUCAAAUAUUCAAUCUUUACUCUCUGUUUGGCAACAGAUUUAAUUUUCAUGAAAUUUUUUUUUUUAAUGGGGUGCUGUUUGGCUUCAA